AAGGAUUAAAGCGAAUAGAAAUAAGAGUGUGUUGCUUAGAGUAAGGUGCUGUUCAUUGUAAAACUUUUGUCUCAGCUCUACAUACAUAUAUAGAAAUAUGUACACAAAUAUUUUUCAUAUAUACAUAUAUAUGUAACUAUAUGAACACACUUUUGUGUGUUAAAUCAGAAUAUAAAAAACCUGAGGGUCAAUCAAUGAGCCAAAAGGUAACCAGUCGUACUCUGGAAAAAUUUGGGUCCUCUGGUUACAAAGGAGCUGUCAUGAAGUAGUUUGCUGACUUACAGAGAUGGCUGAAGAAAAGUGCUUCUGCUGGUGAGAUAACCAAUGCUUGUGAUCAGAUAUGGAUGUGGUAUGAACAUUAAAAGGUUUCCUUCGGUUUUCUCAUCUCCAUCCCUUCAAUAAAAUAUCUCACCCUGAUACUUGUAGUCUGACUCUAGUGGGAUAACACAGGACUCCUGUUAUCCUUGACACUGUUAUCCAGUUAUCCAGGGGGCAUCUCUGCAACCUGUGGUGGAGUAGACCAUCUUUGCCUUCCGCUUGGACUGUUUGCUGGGUGCACUGCUCCUGUCUAGGCUCAGGUCUUCACCACCAAAGUAGACUUUUUACAAAACCUUUGGUUUCCCCUUCAAGGCACUUUCUACUGCCAGAAUGAUCUUUCUAAGGCAGAAUAUCCAACCAGGUGCAAUUUGUGGGUGCUUACAGGGUCAUGAAAUACCACCUAUGGUAGUUAGUUUCCACAAAUGGCCAAGAUAGACGUGUGGGUGAAGCCAUCCUGUGUGUCCCAGCCCCUGUCACCAUCUCAGUGCAGCCAUGUAAGGCCCCAAACAAGACCAGCAGAACCACCAUCUGCAUCUUGUCUACCCUGAUUGUGACAAAUAGUACAUUGCGGUUUUCAGCCACUAAAUGUAAGGGUGAGUUGUUAAGCAGCAGUAAAUUUGAAUCGGUCAGCUCACGUGGGUUCAAGCCCCAGCUCUGCCAGUACUUACAAUGUGAUCUUAAUCACUGAAUCUUCCUGAGCUUUCAUUUCCUUUGCAGAAUGAAGGUUGGGGUUUCAUUCAUCCCUUUAACAAACAUUUAUUGAAGAUCUCCUGUGGGCCAGGUGUGACAAUGGUGUACCUGGCAUGUAGUGGGAGCUCAAAAAAUAUUAGUGGUCUUUCAUCUUGCUCUUUUGUCCUUUAAUUAAUAAAUAGCACAACAAAAUGUUUUAUCACCUAUUUUCAGUUGAGUCUCAGUUCUCUGCAGUUAUCACCUUGCAUAGAAGCUACUGAAACCUCAUUUUUUUCUUUUUUGGGACAGGGUCUCCUGUAGCCCAGGUUGGAAUGCAGUGGCACAAUCUUUGCUCAUUGCAACCUUGAUUUCCUGGGCUCAAGUGAUCAUCCUGCCUCAGCCUCCCAA
RNAcentral lists this long non-coding RNA (1395 nucleotides) under Homo sapiens (human). Its description in RNAcentral is "HSALNT0263523". Lineage: Eukaryota; Metazoa; Chordata; Mammalia; Primates; Hominidae. The record is from RNAcentral.